GACGAACGCUGGCGGCGUGCCUAACACAUGCAAGUCGAGCGGAGUUAAUUGAAAGCUUGCUUUUGGUUAACUUAGCGGCGGACGGGUGAGUAACGCGUGGGCAACCUGCCUAUCACAGGGGGAUAACACAGGGAAACUUGUGCUAAUACCGCAUAAUACAGCGAGAAAGCAUUUUCUUGUUGUCAAUGGAGCAAUCCGGUGAUAGAUGGGCCCGCGUCCAAUUAGCUAGUUGGUGAUGUAACGGACCACCAAGGCGACGAUUGGUAGCCGAACUGAGAGGUUGAUCGGCCACAUUGGGACUGAGACACGGCCCAGACUCCUACGGGAGGCAGCAGUGGGGAAUAUUGCACAAUGGGGGAAACCCUGAUGCAGCAACGCCGCGUGAAGGAUGAAGGUUUUCGGAUUGUAAACUUCUUUAGUCAGGGACGAAUAAAUGACGGUACCUGGAGAAUAAGCACCGGCUAACUACGUGCCAGCAGCCGCCGUAA
Molecule: ribosomal RNA, 488 nt
Filed under: uncultured bacterium
Lineage: Bacteria
Description: partial 16S ribosomal RNA
Rfam family: Bacterial small subunit ribosomal RNA
Source: RNAcentral